RNAcentral lists this ribosomal RNA (253 nucleotides) under uncultured bacterium. RNAcentral describes it as "partial 16S ribosomal RNA". It matches the Rfam family "Bacterial small subunit ribosomal RNA", at positions 524 to 776 of the family's 1533-position model. The record is from RNAcentral.
UACGAAGGGUGCAAGCGUUACUCGGAAUUACUGGGCGUAAAGCGUGCGUAGGUGGUUCGUUAAGUCUGAUGUGAAAGCCCUGGGCUCAACCUGGGAAUGGCAUUGGAAACUGGCGACCUAGAGUGCGGUAGAGGGUAGUGGAAUUCCCGGUGUAGCAGUGAAAUGCGUAGAGAUCGGGAGGAACAUCCGUGGCGAAGGCGACUACCUGGACCAGCACUGACACUGAGGCACGAAAGCGUGGGGAUCAAACAGG